GCGGGUGUGGCGGAAUGGCAGACGCGCCAGACUUAGGAUCUGGUGGGCUCAGCCCGUGGAGGUUCAAAUCCUCUCACCCGCACCA
RNAcentral lists this transfer RNA (85 nucleotides) under Ammonifex sp. RNAcentral describes it as "tRNA-Leu". It matches the Rfam family "tRNA". Rfam says of the family: Transfer RNA (tRNA) molecules are approximately 80 nucleotides in length. Their secondary structure includes four short double-helical elements and three loops (D, anti-codon, and T loops). Further hydrogen bonds mediate the characteristic L-shaped molecular structure. tRNAs have two regions of fundamental functional importance: the anti-codon, which is responsible for specific mRNA codon recognition, and the 3' end, to which the tRNAs corresponding amino acid is attached (by aminoacyl-tRNA synthetases). tRNAs cope with the degeneracy of the genetic code in two manners: having more than one tRNA (with a specific anti-codon) for a particular amino acid; and 'wobble' base-pairing, i.e. permitting non-standard base-pairing at the 3rd anti-codon position. The record is from RNAcentral. Lineage: Bacteria; Bacillati; Bacillota; Clostridia; Thermoanaerobacterales; Thermoanaerobacteraceae.